CCUACGGGAGGCAGCAGUGAGGAAUAUUGGUCAAUGGACGAGAGUCUGAACCAGCCAAGUAGCGUGAAGGAUGACUGCCCUAUGGGUUGUAAACUUCUUUUAUAUGGGAAUAAAAUGUUCCACGUGUGGGAUUUUGUAUGUACCAUAUGAAUAAGGAUCGGCUAACUCCGUGCCAGCAGCCGCGGUAAUACGGAGGAUCCGAGCGUUAUCUGGAUUUAGUGGGUUUAAAGGGAGCGUAGGUGGAUUGUUAAGUCAGUUGUGAAAGUUUGGGGCUCAACCGUAGAAUUGCAGUUGAAACUGGCAAUCUUGAGUGCAGUAGAGGUGAGCGGAAUUCGUGGUGUAGCGGUGAAAUGCUUAGAUAUCGCGAAGAACACCGAUGGCGAAGGCAGCUAACUGGACUGCAACUGACACUGAGGCUCGAAAGUGUGGGUAUCAAACAGGAUUAGAUACCCGUGUAGUC
This 460-nucleotide ribosomal RNA is filed under the name uncultured bacterium. Its description in RNAcentral is "partial 16S ribosomal RNA". It matches the Rfam family "Bacterial small subunit ribosomal RNA", at positions 338 to 795 of the family's 1533-position model. The record is from RNAcentral.